CUUCCUGAUGAAUCCUUUAUGUGUGGUCCCUCAUGUCUAGGAGCCUACAGUAAAGAGUUGUACUGUUUGAAAGGAGGAUGAGGAGCUGCUUGUUAAAGGAAGGGGAGAAUGCUGGCCUUGCUGUUUACAUGCAGAAGAGAUGCUAGGUUCAAGGGCUGAGUACAUUCACUGGAAAGUUCCCCUACAACUCCAUAUGCUUUGGGUCAUGCUUAGAGGUGUAGAGGUCCACUGUUCCAGCUGGAAGAUGGCAUUUGUGACUGCAACCUGAAAAACAGGCAUUAGGAUUUAUUUCUGAAGCAACACAUCUGCAGCCUAACUAUGCUGUAAACUUUCAUUAAAUGCUUGAUGGAAAUCAAUGCUCAUUUAUAAAGUGAUAUUGCAGCACUACAGUUUGAUAUGACAGAACUAGUCAUGGUAAAUAAAUGAUUCAGGGAAUAUGGCUUUUUUGCUUUU
Anas platyrhynchos (mallard) is the source of this 453-nucleotide long non-coding RNA. RefSeq lists it as uncharacterized. The record is from RefSeq and is a predicted model, not a curated record. Lineage: Eukaryota; Metazoa; Chordata; Aves; Anseriformes; Anatidae.